Triplophysa rosa is the source of this 71-nucleotide non-coding RNA. NCBI's taxonomy places the organism in Eukaryota, Metazoa, Chordata, Actinopteri, Cypriniformes, Nemacheilidae. The record is from the annotation of a RefSeq genome assembly.
GGGAGAGUAGUUUAAUGGUAGAAUAUCGGUCUCCAAAACCGAGGAUAUGGGUUCAAUUCCUAUCUCUCCUG